RNAcentral lists this ribosomal RNA (253 nucleotides) under uncultured bacterium. RNAcentral describes it as "partial 16S ribosomal RNA". It matches the Rfam family "Bacterial small subunit ribosomal RNA", at positions 524 to 776 of the family's 1533-position model. The record is from RNAcentral.
UACGUAGGGUCCGAGCGUUAAUCGGAAUUACUGGGCGUAAAGCGUGCGCAGGCGGUUUUGUAAGCCAGAUGUGAAAUCCCCGGGCUUAACCUGGGAAUGGCAUUUGGGACUGCAAGGCUCGAGUGCGGCAGAGGAGACUGGAAUUCCUGGUGUAGCAGUGAAAUGCGUAGAUAUCAGGAGGAACACCGAUGGCGAAGGCAGGUCUCUGGGCUGACACUGACGCUCAUGCACGAAAGCGUGGGGAGGAAACAGG